AGUAAAAGAAUAAUAAAGAAAGAAAGAAAGAAAGAAAGAAGAAAAAAAAAAGAAGAAAAGCGAUGAUAAGGGAAAGAACAAAACACGUUGUUACACACACACACACAUACACACACGAUUAGUAAGAAUUUGGUUGGUGGAAACGUUGGUGAGUAAGUCUCUUUGUUUGGUGUCUGUGAUGUUGCAGCGGCUCCCAGCGGUGCUCAGCAGGAUAGGGAUAAUAUUGGCCAGCCCCUUGGAUGGAUCGUUGUUUAACAUCGAAAAGAUAUCGUAAGAAUAUAAGUUUCUUCUACGGAGACCCUGUCGCAGGGUAAAAAGAAGCGAGAGGGCGGUCCACCGACCGGAGCUACGACAGGGCCGAACGAGAUCGUGACCUGCACCAAUUGUGGGCCCAACCCUUGCACGCACACAACCACCAAUGGAUGCACGGCUGAGCUGAGAAAAAAGGAACCGCCGCAUCCUAUAAGAGUGGCGAAGACGAUCGACGUGAUAGCAAGAAUCACCUUCCCGAUCGCCUACUUCAUGUUCCUCACCUUUUUCUUCAUCCACUACAAAGGCACUUCGUAGACCGACACCGGAGGAGGCAAACGGGAUAUUCACACCGUUCAUCAUCGAGCCACGUGUUUCACGACGUGCGGCGACGAUUUUUUUUUUUUUAUCUCGAUUCAAUCAAUUACAUUGGAGGGGAGGGCAGCAAGUCCGAAGGACUUUGAACGAGGUUGAGUUGUUAGUCGGCGGCGUGGAGGAGGGAGGGGGAGGUGAAGGGAAGUGUUCUUGUCUCCGCUCGAAAAAAAGGGAAAGAGAGAAAAAAAGGUUCCAAAAAAAUCGAAAGCAAAGUUAACGUCGCGUCGAUAUCGUUCUGGAUGACUGGUUUCGUUCGAAGAAAAAGAUAGAAUACGAGAAAGAUCGGCUUAUCAAAGAGCGAAGGAUCUGUAUUAACUGUCUUUUCUUUGACUUGGAAGGAAGAGGAAAAAAGAAAGAAAGAAAGAAAGAAAGAAAAAAAACGAAGAGCACUCGAAGAAGAAAACACUCGAAUUGUUGGGGACACUCGCCUCUUCCUCAUCUUUUUCUCACAUGUGAUAAUUCUUCUUAAAAGCACUCUCUUUAUCGAA
Molecule: unclassified non-coding RNA, 1112 nt
Organism: Apis florea (little honeybee)
Lineage: Eukaryota; Metazoa; Arthropoda; Insecta; Hymenoptera; Apidae
Source: RefSeq, a predicted model, not a curated record